This 2208-nucleotide long non-coding RNA is filed under the name Brassica napus (rape). Its description in RNAcentral is "long non-coding RNA (BNAP_LNC024312)". Lineage: Eukaryota; Viridiplantae; Streptophyta; Magnoliopsida; Brassicales; Brassicaceae. The record is from RNAcentral.
ACAUACAGGACAGUGAGCAGACUUUUGUAAACUAGUUGCAGAGAGAGAUAGAAAAAGUACCAGAGAGAAUCUUUAACUUGGAAGUAGAUAUGUGUCCAAGGCGUUACCAUCGACUUGCAAGGAUCCACGGAAAGCUAAAGAAGAUGAAUCAACAUUCUCAAGAACAUAAAGGUUGUGCAGAGAGUAGCUCUACCAAUCAUCAAGUCACGAGAAGACUCCUGUAACACACAGAAUGUAGGAUAAAAGUGAGCAGAAAGAUUACUAUCACGAAGCAAGCUACACACACUUAUCAAGUUGAAUCGGAAAGAAGGAACAUGAAGCACAUUAUGCAAGACAAGUGAAGAAGAAAUAUGCACAGUUCCUAUAUGAGUGAUAGUUUCAUUAAGUUCAUUAGGGAGAGAGACUGUAACACCAGACACAGUCGAGGUACUACUAAAGAGGGACAGAUCCGAGCAUACAUGUGUAGUAGCUCCACUGUCAAUGAUCCAGGUAUUAGAUAGUAGGGUCGAUGAAAGAGAUGAUAAGCAUUGAUGUUGGAAAGUAAGGAUAUUAUGUGUAAAACGAAGGCUAGUAGAGGGAAAGGGGAUGAUACCAGCGGAUGAUUGAGGUGCUGAAGAUGAGUAGGAUCCAUGUGGAUUUGGACCGGAUUAGGAUUAACAGCAUUCGCAGUUAUCUGAGCAACAUCGUUCGACUUUUGAAACUGCUGUGAAAGAGGGUGGUGAGAGGUUUGAGCUGGUCGCUGGUUAUAUCCCUGUUGACCUCGUGGAGUGAAACCAGAUCCUCGUGCAGAGGUCUUGUUAUUCCUGUGUCCUGGAGGGAAACCAUGUAACUUGAAACACUUGGUAACGAUGUGUCCAAGUUGGCUACAGUAGGUGCACAAAGGCCUCUGUUUAGGACGAUAACCGGAUUGCGAAUGAGCUGUUGCAAAAGCAGAAUGAUCAAGUAAAGUAUCAUUCAUAGGAGCGUCAGUAGGACCAGAACUCUGAAAAACUGCGUUUUGUAGGUGUAGAUAUAGGUUUGCUAGACUUCUGUCUUUCAUCCUGAGCCACCAGAUUGAACACAUCUUCGAUAGAUGGGAUUGGUUUCAACAUAAGGAUAUGGCGACGAGUCGGUUCAAAGGCUUCAUUAAGCCCCAUCAAGAACUUAGUCACACGAUUGCGUUGUUGUAAACGUUCCCAAAGAACAGCCGCAUUGGAAGGUCAACAUAAUUCUUGUGCUCUUCCCAGAGCGUGGCUAAAGCUGUAUAGUAUGCACUGACAUCCAUCGAACCUUUCUGCAAACGCGACUGAGUUGUUGUUCAAUCUCACACACUCUCGGCGCAUCGUCCUGUUUAAAACGAAAUAGAAUAUUCUUCCAAAUAGAUUCAGCAGUCGACAUAAAGAGAAGACUCUGACCUAUCUGCUUAGAAACGGAAUUCAUCAACCAUGUGGUCAUUGCAACGGGACCAAGAUCUAGCAUCGCGAUGAAUCCGAGCUUGUUAUCCUAACAGAAGGACGCCAAGAAUGGAACUCCGAGCCAGAUGUGAGACGAUCGGAGACCAAGACGAGUCCAGCGUGAUCGGAGCUGUGAAGAUGAUAGGUAUCAUAAAGCUUACGUGAGGAGGAAGAAUAACAGAGUUGCGGAACAGAGUAAGGAUGACGCGGCAGAGGACGUUGGAUCGGAAGUAAAUGAAUAAGGAAACCUUCGGAUGGAGAAAGAGUCUUUCCGUUAGGAGUCAUCUUCUUCUUAUUAUGAGUUCGUUGUUCAUUCUGUUUCUUUAUGCACACAGUCGAGGUACUACUAAAGAGGGACAGAUCCGAGCAUACAUGUGUAGUAGCUCCACUGUCAAUGAUCCAGGUAUUAGAUAGUAGGGUCGAUGAAAGAGAUGAUAAGCAUUGAUGUUGGAAAGUAAGGAUAUUAUGUGUAAAACGAAGGCUAGUAGAGGGAAAGGGGAUGAUACCAGCGGAUGAUUGAGGUGCUGAAGAUGAGUAGGAUCCAUGUGGAUUUGGACCGGAUUAGGAUUAACAGCAUUCGCAGUUAUCUGAGCAACAUCGUUCGACUUUUGAAACUGCUGUGAAAGAGGGUGGUGAGAGGUUUGAGCUGGUCGCUGGUUAUAUCCCUGUUGACCUCGUGGAGUGAAACCAGAUCCUCGUGCAGAGGUCUUGUUAUUCCUGUGUCCUGGAGGGAAACCAUGUAACUUGAAACACUUGGUAACGAUGUGUCCAAGUU